UACGAAGGGGGGCUAGCGUUGUUCGGAUUAACUGGGCGUAAAGGGUGCGUAGGCGGGUUUUUAAGUCAGGGGUGAAAUCCCGAGGCUCAACCUCGGAACUGCCUUUGAUACUGGAAAUCUUGAGUCUGGGAGAGGUGAGUGGAACUGCGAGUGUAGAGGUGAAAUUCGUAGAUAUUCGCAAGAACACCGGUGGCGAAGGCGGCCACCUGGACGGUAACUGACGCUGAGACGCGAAAGCGUGGGGAGCAAACAGG
Molecule: ribosomal RNA, 254 nt
Filed under: uncultured bacterium
Lineage: Bacteria
Description: partial 16S ribosomal RNA
Rfam family: Bacterial small subunit ribosomal RNA
Source: RNAcentral